UAGGGAAUCUUCCACAAUGGGCGAAAGCCUGAUGGAGCAACGCCGCGUGUGAUGAAGGGUUUCGGCUCGUAAAACACUGUUGUAAGAGAAGAAUGACAUUGAGAGUAACUGUUCAAUGUGUGACGGUAUCUUACCAGAAAGGAACGGCUAAAUACGUGCCAG
This 162-nucleotide ribosomal RNA is filed under the name uncultured bacterium. RNAcentral describes it as "partial 16S ribosomal RNA". It matches the Rfam family "Bacterial small subunit ribosomal RNA", at positions 355 to 511 of the family's 1533-position model. The record is from RNAcentral.